UAACACGUAAACAACCUGCCUUCAGGAUGGGGACAACAGACGGAAACGACUGCUAAUACCGAAUACACUUGGGAGACCGCAUGAUCUCCCAAGGAAAGGGUGGCCUCUACCUGUAAGCUAUCGCCUGAAGAGGGGUUUGCGUCUGAUUAGGCAGUUGGUGAGGUAACGGCCCACCAAACCUACGAUCAGUAGCCGGUCUGAGAGGAUGAACGGCCACACUGGAACUGAGACACGGUCCAG
RNAcentral lists this ribosomal RNA (240 nucleotides) under uncultured bacterium. RNAcentral's name for it is "partial 16S ribosomal RNA". It matches the Rfam family "Bacterial small subunit ribosomal RNA", at positions 111 to 334 of the family's 1533-position model. The record is from RNAcentral.